UACGAAGGGGGCUAGCGUUGCUCGGAAUUACUGGGCGUAAAGGGAGCGUAGGCGGGUUAUCAAGUUGGGGGUGAAAGCCCGGGGCUCAACCUCGGAAUUGCCUUCAAAACUGAUAACCUGGAGUAUGGAAGAGGUAAGUGGAACUCCGAGUGUAGAGGUGAAAUUCGUAGAUAUUCGGAAGAACACCAGUGGCGAAGGCGACUUAGUGGUCCAUUACUGACGCUGAGGCUCGAAAGCGUGGGGAGCAAACAGG
Molecule: ribosomal RNA, 253 nt
Filed under: uncultured bacterium
Lineage: Bacteria
Description: partial 16S ribosomal RNA
Rfam family: Bacterial small subunit ribosomal RNA
Source: RNAcentral